Molecule: ribosomal RNA, 253 nt
Filed under: uncultured bacterium
Lineage: Bacteria
Description: partial 16S ribosomal RNA
Rfam family: Bacterial small subunit ribosomal RNA
Source: RNAcentral
UACGGGGGGGGCAAGCGUUGUUCGGAAUUACUGGGCGUAAAGAGCGCGCAGGCGGUCGUUCAAGUCGAGUGUGAAAGCCCCCGGCUCAACUGGGGAGGGUCACUCGAUACUGAUCGACUCGAAGGCAGGAGAGGGAAGCGGAAUUCCCGGUGUAGUGGUGAAAUGCGUAGAUAUCGGGAGGAACACCAGUGGCGAAGGCGGCUUUCUGGCCUGUUCUUGACGCUGAGGCGCGAAAGCUAGGGUAGCAAACGGG